GCAGGGGCUGCACGGCCCCCAGGGCCCCACACAUUGGGGCAGGUAGGAGGGUGGUCUAGGGGAGACUCGAGGAGAGGAGAUGCUGUCGAGGCUCCGGAUGUGGGAUGGCCAGGAGUCUGAUGCUGCCACUUCAUUCUGGUAAUUGAGAAAAGCUAUGAGAUAAAUUCAUGCAAAUGAAGGGUCCCUUCAAGUUAUCCUGAGGACUCCAAAACUGUAAAAGAACUGGGUGGAAGAAUUCCUUUUAGCUCCCCACCAACAUCACCACUAAUAAUACCGCCUGGUUUCCAUGUAAGCCAACAAAUUAAGUGAGGAGCAAGAGUUAAAAAGGCCAACUGGAUCAGAUACCUUUGCCUUCUAUAA
Molecule: non-coding RNA, 360 nt
Organism: Phascolarctos cinereus (koala)
Lineage: Eukaryota; Metazoa; Chordata; Mammalia; Diprotodontia; Phascolarctidae
Source: RefSeq, a predicted model, not a curated record